This 395-nucleotide ribosomal RNA is filed under the name uncultured bacterium. RNAcentral's name for it is "partial 16S ribosomal RNA". It matches the Rfam family "Bacterial small subunit ribosomal RNA", at positions 523 to 918 of the family's 1533-position model. The record is from RNAcentral.
AUACGUAGGGUGCAAGCGUUAAUCGGAAUUACUGGGCGUAAAGCGUGCGCAGGCGGUUUUGUAAGGCAGAGGUGAAAUCCCCGGGCUCCACCUGGGAACUGCCUUUGUGACUGCAAGGCUAGAGUACGGCAGAGGGGGAUGGAAUUCCGCGUGUAGCAGUGAAAAGCGUAGAUAUGCGGAGGAACACCGAUGGCGAAGGCAAUCCCCUGGGCCUGUACUGACGCUCAUGCACGAAAGCGUGGGGAGCAAACAGGAUUAGAUACCCUGGUAGUCCACGCCCUAAACGAUGUCAACUGGUUGUUGGGUCUUCAUUGACUCAGUAACGAAGCUAACGCGUGAAGUUGACCGCCUGGGGAGUACGGCCGCAAGGUUGAAACUCAAAUGAAUUGGCGGGG